This 504-nucleotide ribosomal RNA is filed under the name uncultured bacterium. RNAcentral's name for it is "partial 16S ribosomal RNA". It matches the Rfam family "Bacterial small subunit ribosomal RNA", at positions 28 to 523 of the family's 1533-position model. The record is from RNAcentral.
GAUGAACGCUAGCGGCAGGCCUAAUACAUGCAAGUCGAACGGGAUCUGAGGGUAGCUUGCUACCCGACUUGAGAGUGGCGCACGGGUGCGUAACGCGUGAGCAACCUACCCAUAUCAGGGGGAUAGCCCGAAGAAAUUCGGAUUAACACCGCAUAAUAAUACGCUAACACAUGUUGAUGUAUUUAAAUAUUUAUAGGAUAUGGAUGGGCUCGCGUGACAUUAGCUAGCUGGUAAGGUAACGGCUUACCAAGGCGACGAUGUCUAGGGGCUCUGAGAGGGGAAUCCCCCACACUGGUACUGAGACACGGACCAGACUCCUACGGGAGGCAGCAGUAAGGAAUAUUGGUCAAUGGGCGCAAGCCUGAACCAGCCAUGCCGCGUGCAGGAUGACUGCCCUAUGGGUUGUAAACUGCUUUUGUUAGGGAAUAAACCUUCUUACGUGUAAGGAGUUGAAUGUACCUAAAGUAUAAGGAUCGGCUAACUCCGUGCCAGCCGCCGCCGUAA